RNAcentral lists this ribosomal RNA (459 nucleotides) under uncultured bacterium. Its description in RNAcentral is "partial 16S ribosomal RNA". It matches the Rfam family "Bacterial small subunit ribosomal RNA", at positions 338 to 795 of the family's 1533-position model. The record is from RNAcentral.
CCUACGGGAGGCAGCAGUGAGGAAUAUUGGUCAAUGGCCGCAGGGCUGAACCAGCCAAGUCGCGUGAGGGAUGACGGUCCUCUGGAUUGUAAACCUCUUUUGUCAGGGAGCAAAGGUCGCCACGUGUUGCGCUUUGCGAGUACCUGAAGAAAAAGCAUCGGCUAACGCCGUGCCAGCAGCCGCGGUAAUACGGAGGAUGCGAGCGUUAUCGGGAUUUAUUGGGUUUAAAGGGUGCGCAGGGGGAAUGUCAAGUCAGCGGUAAAAUUUCGGGGCUCAACCCCGUCGUGCCGUUGAAACUGGCGUUCUUGAGAGAGCGAGAAGUAUGCGGAAGGCGUGGUGUAGCGGUGAAAUGCAUAGAUAUCGCGAAGAACGCCGAUUGCGAAGGCAGCGUACCGGCGCCAGACUGACGCUGAGGCACGAAAGCGUGGGGAUCGAACAGGAUUAGAUACCCGGGUAGUC